This 191-nucleotide small nuclear RNA is filed under the name Dasypus novemcinctus (nine-banded armadillo). Its description in RNAcentral is "U2 spliceosomal RNA (ENSDNOG00000048193.1)". It matches the Rfam family "U2 spliceosomal RNA". From Rfam's summary of the family: U2 is a small nuclear RNA (snRNA) component of the spliceosome (involved in pre-mRNA splicing). Complementary binding between U2 snRNA (in an area lying towards the 5' end but 3' to hairpin I) and the branchpoint sequence (BPS) of the intron results the bulging out of an unpaired adenosine, on the BPS, which initiates a nucleophilic attack at the intronic 5' splice site, thus starting the first of two transesterification reactions that mediate splicing. Lineage: Eukaryota; Metazoa; Chordata; Mammalia; Cingulata; Dasypodidae. The record is from RNAcentral.
GUACUCUAUAUGCCUUUUGGCUAAGAUCAAGUGUAGUAUCUGUUCUUAUCAGUUUAAUAUCUUAUACAUCCUCUAUCUGAGGACAAUAUAUUAAAUGGAUUUUUGGAAUUAAGAGAUAGAAUAGGAGCUUGCUCCAUCCACUCCACGCAUCGACCUGGUAUUACAGUAUCUCCAGGAAUGGUGCACACACA